RNAcentral lists this unclassified non-coding RNA (536 nucleotides) under Hevea brasiliensis (rubber tree). The record is from RNAcentral. Lineage: Eukaryota; Viridiplantae; Streptophyta; Magnoliopsida; Malpighiales; Euphorbiaceae.
CUCUUUUUGGUAGAAUUUGGCUUUUCCUAGUUGCCGUAAUUUGAUAGAGGUUAAUGGGUUUGAUGGAUGAAUUCAUAAAUUCCUGAUAUUUGGUGUAUGGUUUUGGUUUAGUUUCAUUAAAUUGAAUCGAACUUUUCUUAGUUCGGUGGUUGCUGCAAAAGGCAGGAGCUACAUAUCAAAAUCCAAUUCAUUUUGAGAAGUGGAGGCAAAAAUGGCAGUUUCUUUGACUCGUUUUUCAUGGUGGUUAUGGAGUGGCAAGGAAAAAGAACCUGUCUCAAAUGGUUCUUCUUUGAAUUCAUCUACUGAUUGGGGUUCUGGAUUCAGAGAGCUUGAAUCUGUUAAAUUCCCCUCAAGGAAUUUAGCCUCACCUAGAAAAGCUAAGAGGAAAUGGCACAGUAGGGAAGACAGGAGACUUGAUAAGCAAUAUGGUGAUGCAGUUUUGGUGCCAUCUGANNNNNNNNUGGGGUUUGCUUGUCAGGGUCAGAAUCGGAUGGCCCAGAUUGGUCCAUCGGGUGGGUGGAGCCUCAUGGACCUGA